GCAUAUCAAUAAGCGGAGGAAAAGAAACCAACAGGGAUUGCCCUAGUAACGGCGAGUGAAGCGGCAACAGCUCAAAUUUGAAAUCUGGCGCAAGCCCGAGUUGUAAUUUGUAGAGGAUGCUUCUGGGCAGCGGCCGGUCUAAGUUCCUUGGAACAGGACGUCAUAGAGGGUGAGAAUCCCGUAUGCGACCGGCUUGCACCCGUCACGUAGCUCCUUCGACGAGUCGAGUUGUUUGGGAAUGCAGCUCUAAAUGGGAGGUAAAUUUCUUCUAAGGCUAAAUACCGGCCAGAGACCGAUAGCGCACAAGUAGAGUGAUCGAAAGAUGAAAAGCACUUUGGAAAGAGAGUUAAAAAGCACGUGAAAUUGUUGAAAGGGAAGCUCACGCAACCAGACUUGUCGGCGGUGUUCCGCCGGUCUUCUGACCGGUCUAUUCGCCGCCGGCAGGCCAGCAUCACUUGGGAGCGCCGGAUAAAGGCGUGCGGAAUGUAGCCCCUCGGGGCAUUAUAGCCGCGCGCACAAUACGGCGCCUCCCGAGUGAGGUCCGCGCUUCGGCUAGGAUGCUGGCGUAAUGGUUGCUUGAGGCCCGUCUUGAAACACGGACC
RNAcentral lists this ribosomal RNA (602 nucleotides) under Hortaea werneckii. RNAcentral describes it as "eukaryotic LSU rRNA". It matches the Rfam family "Eukaryotic large subunit ribosomal RNA", at positions 38 to 667 of the family's 3401-position model. The record is from RNAcentral. Lineage: Eukaryota; Fungi; Ascomycota; Dothideomycetes; Mycosphaerellales; Teratosphaeriaceae.